GAAGGGCCGCGGUAUUCUGACCGUGCGAAGGUAGCAUAAUCAUUAGUCUUUUAAUUGAGGGCUUGUAUGAAUGGUUGGACAAAAAAUAAGCUGUCUCAAUUAUAAAAGUUGAAUUUAACUUUUAAGUGAAAAGGCUUAAAUAAUUUAGGGGGACGAUAAGACCCUAUAAAGCUUUACAAUUAUUUGGUUAAAUUAUGAAUUGUUAGUAUAAAUUUAAUUUAAUUGAUGUUUGUUUCGUUGGGGCGACGGGAAUAUAAUUUUGUAACUGUUCUUUUAUAAUUUGUUACAAUAAUUUUUGGUAAAAGAUUGAUCCUUUAUUAAAGAUUAAAAGAUUAAGUUACUUUAGGGAUAACAGCGUAAUCUUCCUUGAAAGUCCAUAUCGACAGGAAGGGUUGCGACCUCGAUGUUGAAUUAAGAUUUCCCUAUGGCGCAGCAGUUAUA
RNAcentral lists this ribosomal RNA (441 nucleotides) under Trachysalambria nansei. Its description in RNAcentral is "partial 16S ribosomal RNA". It matches the Rfam family "Bacterial large subunit ribosomal RNA", at positions 1925 to 2566 of the family's 2925-position model. The record is from RNAcentral. Lineage: Eukaryota; Metazoa; Arthropoda; Malacostraca; Decapoda; Penaeidae.